This 301-nucleotide ribosomal RNA is filed under the name uncultured bacterium. Its description in RNAcentral is "partial 16S ribosomal RNA". It matches the Rfam family "Bacterial small subunit ribosomal RNA", at positions 509 to 809 of the family's 1533-position model. The record is from RNAcentral.
CAGUCGCCACGGUAAUACGAGGGGGGCUAGCGUUGUUCGGAAUCACUGGGCGUAAAGCGCACGUAGGCGGAUUUUUAAGUCAGGGGUGAAAUCCCGAGGCUCAACCUCGGAACUGCCUUUGAUACUGGGAAUCUCGAGUCCGGGAGAGGUGAGCGGAACUGCGAGUGUAGAGGUGAAAUUCGUAGAUAUUCGCAAGAACACCAGUGGCGAAGGCGGCUCACUGGCCCGGUACUGACGCUGAGGUGCGAAAGCGUGGGGAGCAAACAGGAUUAGAUACCCCCGUAGUCCCUGUCUCUUAUAA